Molecule: ribosomal RNA, 114 nt
Filed under: Carlito syrichta (Philippine tarsier)
Lineage: Eukaryota; Metazoa; Chordata; Mammalia; Primates; Tarsiidae
Source: RNAcentral
AACUACAGCCAUGCUACCCCAAACCUGCUCAAUCUCGUCUGAUCUCACAAGCUAAGCAGGGUCAGGCCUAGUUAGUACUUGAAUGGGAGAAAUAUAAUACAAUUGGCUGGGUUU